This is an RNA transcript of Panicum virgatum (switchgrass), 2105 nucleotides long. It is a transcript of the gene named pentatricopeptide repeat-containing protein At3g13160, mitochondrial-like, with no coding region annotated. The transcript is spliced from 2 exons. NCBI's taxonomy places the organism in Eukaryota, Viridiplantae, Streptophyta, Magnoliopsida, Poales, Poaceae. The record is from RefSeq and is a predicted model, not a curated record.
CGGUCGUCUCGACGAAACCCCACCCACGCCGCCGUCGCGUUGCGCCCAGCGCCCCACAUUUGCCAUGGCCUCCACCGCGCGCCGCCUCUCCAGCAUCUUCUCCUCGACCAAACCACGUGCCCGACCAACCAAAUCCGCGCCCGCGCCCGCGCCCGCGCCUGCGCCUGCCCCGAAAGCGGCCGCCGGCGAGGCGAAGGCGAAACCCAACAAGGGUCGCAAGAUGUCCAUCGGCAAAAUCGUGCGGACCGUCAUCCGGCAGCGCGAUCCGGACAAGCUGGUGUUCCAGUUCGUCGCCGCGUCGACCGCGUCCCAGAGAUUCCGCGACAAGCACGGCGUGUACGAGAUGGCCGUGGCCCGCCUCGCUUCCUUCGGCCGCCAGGACGCCGUCGCGGCCAUCCUCGACUCCCAGAAGCCCUUCCUCGAGGCCUCCACCGAGGGAUUCGCCACGCGCCUCGUCCGCCUCUACGGCCGCGCCUCCAUGCCGUCCCACGCCGCCGCGACCUUCCAUGACCUUCCGUUAAAGCACAAAUCCGUCAUGACCUUCAACGCCCUCCUCACCGCCUACGUCGACGCCGGCGACUUCGAUGCGCUCGCCACCGCGUUCCAGCAGAUCCCGGCCUCAUACCCCACCAUUGUCCCCAGUGUUUCCUCUUACAACAUUCUCAUCAGCGCGCUGUGCCAGAAGCCGGACCUCUCGGCCGCCCUCGACGUCAUCGGGCUCAUGGACAAGUGCGGUCUUACCCCCGAAGAGAUAACUUUCAACACUCUGCUUAAUGGGUUUUACAACAGUGGUUGCGUUGAUGAUGCCGAGAAAGUCUGGGAGAUGAUGAAGGAGAGGAAUGUUAAGCCGGGUACAGAGAGCUACAAUGCAAAGCUGCGGGGUUUGGUUUCCAAUGGAAGUAUUGAGGAUGCAAUUGGUUUGAUUGAGAUGAUGCAGAAGGAUGGGCCCAAACCUGAUUCAGUGUCCUACAAUGAACUUAUUCGAUGGUAUUGCAACGAAGGCAGGUUGGAUGAGGCCAAGAAAGCAUAUGUUGAUCUGGUAAAGAAUGAUUGUGCACCAAAUAGGGGCACAUUUCAUACCCUUGUGCCAUGUCUUCUUGAGGCUGGGGAGCUUGAUUCUGCUCUAAGAUGCUGCUAUGAGAUCCUUAGUAGGAAGUGCAAAGUGCAAUGCUCGUUACUGCAACGGGUAGUGACUGCAUUGGUUGCUGCCUCAAGGGUGGAGGAGGCUAAGAGGAUUGUUGAGCAUGGGAGGAAGAACUUCUAUCAUCGGAAGAGUUUGAGGAUGCCACCACAUACUAGAGAAGACAUGUGUUUGAAGAUGCCACCUACUGGAGAAGACAUUAAUGCCAGGGGCGGAUCCAGCAGUGGGUCUGGAGGGGCUCGAGCCCCUCCUACCGCUGGAAAUCCCAUGAAGCCCCCCCCCCCCCCCCCCCAACCACUAAGCCCCUCCUACAAAUUUGUGGAAGAAGAAUGAGGGAAGAAGAGCAUGAAAGCCCCUCCUAAACUCAAUCCUGCCUCCGCCACUGAUUGAUGCAGAAGCUGAAGCUGACUGGGAAGAUUCCGCAUUGGAUGAAGAGGGGUCUGAGGAGGAAGCAUCUAGAAUGGAGGAAUAUGGGAGUCCUGCUGUUGAAAGUGGUGAGGCUGGCACAGAAUUGGAUAAUUCUGUGCCCGGCCAGUGCCAACAAGGAGGAGGACCUCGCGGCGCAUCUGGCAGAUUUGUCUGCUAUGGCAAAAAGACCAGAAAUGAUUCUGGAGGGGUGAUAGCCAUGAAGCUCUGCUCCGGCGAAGACUUGUUUUCUACUCCUGUGAAGUCGACAAUGAGCUUGAAGGACUGGGUGUCGCAGGUGCGGGAGAUGGAUUUGCUCUCCGUUGGUGGUCCGACUGAGCUCUGGUGAUCUUCAGUGGUGGUGUUCCUUUUUUAGCUCCUCUAUUUUUUUCUACAGAAUUGUCUCGAGUUUUUGAUGAGCUUUCAGUGAACUGUGGGCUGUCCCCAGAAACUGCGCUGUAAAUGUUCUCGUCUUUUACCACGGGGCAUGAGCCCUAAUGUUGUAAGAAGGAAGUUGAAAGGGAUGCCGCGAAAGAGAGGCCCAGAGGAACUGAAAGGG